UGGGGAAUAUUGCACAAUGGGCGCAAGCCUGAUGCAGCAACGCCGCGUGAACGAUGAAGGUCUUCGGAUCGUAAAGUUCUGUUGCAGGGGAAGAUAAUGACGGUACCCUGUGAGGAAGCCCCGGCUAACUACGUGCCAGCAGCCGCGGUAAUACGUAGGGGGCUAGCGUUAUCCGGAUUUACUGGGCGUAAAGGGUGCGUAGGUGGUCUUUCAAGUCGGUGGUUAAAGGCUACGGCUCAACCGUAGUUAGCCUCCGAAACUGGAAGACUUGAGUGCAGGAGAGGAAAGCGGAAUUCCCAGUGUAGCGGUGAAAUGCGUAGAUAUUGGGAGGAACACCAGUAGCGAAGGCGGCUUUCUGGACUGCAACUGACACUGAGGCACGAAAGCGUGGGUAGCAAACAGG
Molecule: ribosomal RNA, 403 nt
Filed under: Verrucomicrobiota bacterium
Lineage: Bacteria; Pseudomonadati; Verrucomicrobiota
Description: Verrucomicrobia bacterium partial 16S ribosomal RNA
Rfam family: Bacterial small subunit ribosomal RNA
Source: RNAcentral